Molecule: ribosomal RNA, 258 nt
Filed under: uncultured bacterium
Lineage: Bacteria
Description: partial small subunit ribosomal RNA
Rfam family: Bacterial small subunit ribosomal RNA
Source: RNAcentral
AGGACGAACGCUGGCGGCGUGCUUAACACAUGCAAGUCGAGCGGAAAGGCCCUUCGGGGUACUCGAGCGGGCGAACGGGUGAGGUAACACGUGAGCAAUCUGCCCCUAGCUCUGGGAUAGCUCCGGGAAAACCGGGAUUAAUACCAGAUACAACCACUUUAGACAUCUUUUGUGGUGGAAAGGAUUCCGGCUAGGGAUGAGCUCGCGGCCUAUCAGCUUGUUGGUUGGGGUAACGGCCCACCAAGGCGACGACGGGUA